RNAcentral lists this ribosomal RNA (116 nucleotides) under Candidatus Dadabacteria bacterium. The record is from RNAcentral. Lineage: Bacteria; Pseudomonadati; Thermodesulfobacteriota; Candidatus Dadabacteria.
UUGGGUGGCAAUACUGGAGAGGCAACACCCGGUCCCAUACCGAACCCGGCAGUUAAGCUCUCAGAGGCCCAUGAUACUGCCCCUUUCAGGGGUGGGAAAGUAGGUAGCUGCCCAAU